RNAcentral lists this ribosomal RNA (691 nucleotides) under uncultured Bacilli bacterium. RNAcentral's name for it is "bacterial SSU rRNA". It matches the Rfam family "Bacterial small subunit ribosomal RNA", at positions 59 to 736 of the family's 1533-position model. Lineage: Bacteria; Bacillati; Bacillota; Bacilli. The record is from RNAcentral.
AAGUAGAACGCUGAAGGAGGAGCUGCUUCUCUGGAUGAGUUGCGAACGGGUGAGUAACGCGUAGGUAACCUGCCUGGUAGCGGGGGAUAACUAUUGGAAACGAUAGCUAAUACCGCAUAAGAGUAGAUGUUGCAUGACAUUUGCUUAAAAGGUGCAAUUGCAUCACUACCAGAUGGACCUGCGUUGUAUUAGCUAGUUGGUGAGGUAACGGCUCACCAAGGCAACGAUACAUAGCCGACCUGAGAGGGUGAUCGGCCACACUGGGACUGAGACACGGCCCAGACUCCUACGGGAGGCAGCAGUAGGGAAUCUUCGGCAAUGGACGGAAGUCUGACCGAGCAACGCCGCGUGAGUGAAGAAGGUUUUCGGAUCGUAAAGCUCUGUUGUAAGAGAAGAACGAGUGUGAGAGUGGAAAGUUCACACUGUGACGGUAUCUUACCAGAAAGGGACGGCUAACUACGUGCCAGCAGCCGCGGUAAUACGUAGGUCCCGAGCGUUGUCCGGAUUUAUUGGGCGUAAAGCGAGCGCAGGCGGUUAGAUAAGUCUGAAGUUAAAGGCUGUGGCUUAACCAUAGUACGCUUUGGAAACUGUUUAACUUGAGUGCAAGAGGGGAGAGUGGAAUUCCAUGUGUAGCGGUGAAAUGCGUAGAUAUAUGGAGGAACACCGGUGGCGAAAGCGGCUCUCUGGCUUG